UGCGAGUGAAGCGGGAAAAGCUCAAAUUUAAAAUCUGGCAGUCUUUGGCUGUCCGAGUUGUAAUCUAGAGAAGUGUUAUCCGCGCUGGACCGUGUACAAGUCUCCUGGAAUGGAGCGUCAUAGAGGGUGAGAAUCCCGUCUUUGACACGGACUGCCAGGGCUUUGUGAUGCGCUCUCAAAGAGUCGAGUUGUUUGGGAAUGCAGCUCAAAAUGGGUGGUAAAUUCCAUCUAAAGCUAAAUAUUGGCGAGAGACCGAUAGCGAACAAGUACCGUGAGGGAAAGAUGAAAAGAACUUUGGAAAGAGAGUUAAACAGUACGUGAAAUUGCUGAAAGGGAAACGCUUGAAGUCAGUCGCGUUGUCCAGGGAUCAACCUUGCUUUUGCUUGGUGUAUUUUCUGGUUGACGGGUCAGCAUCAAUUUUGACCAUUGGAAAAAGGUCAGGGGAAUGUGGCAUCUUCGGAUGUGUUAUAGCCCUUGGUUGCAUACAAUGGUUGGGAUUGAGGAACUCAGCACGCCGCAAGGCCGGGUUUUUUUAACCACGUACGUGCUUAGGAUGCUGGCAUAAUGGCUUUAAUCGACCCGUCUUGAAACACGGACCAAGGAGUCUAACAUGCCUGCGAGUGUUUGGGUGGAAAACCCGAGCGCGCAAUGAAAGUGAAAGUUGAGAUCCCUGUCGUGGGGAGCAUCGACGCCCGGACCAGACCUUUUGUGACGGUUCCGCGGUAGAGCAUGUAUGUUGGGACCCGAAAGAUGGUGAACUAUGCCUGAAUAGGGUGAAGCCAGAGGAAACUCUGGUGGAGGCUCGUAGC
RNAcentral lists this ribosomal RNA (809 nucleotides) under Aureonarius armiae. RNAcentral describes it as "Cortinarius armiae partial large subunit ribosomal RNA". It matches the Rfam family "Eukaryotic large subunit ribosomal RNA", at positions 88 to 881 of the family's 3401-position model. Lineage: Eukaryota; Fungi; Basidiomycota; Agaricomycetes; Agaricales; Cortinariaceae. The record is from RNAcentral.